Molecule: ribosomal RNA, 119 nt
Filed under: Pteropus alecto (black flying fox)
Lineage: Eukaryota; Metazoa; Chordata; Mammalia; Chiroptera; Pteropodidae
Source: RNAcentral
GUCUACGGCCAUGCCACCCUAAACGUGCCUGAUCCCGUCUGAUCUCGGAAACUAAGCAGGGUCGGGCCUGGUUAGUACUUGGAUGGGAGACCACCUAGGAAGACCAGGUGCUGUAGGCG